CAGAGGUGCCAAGCGUUAGGCGGAAUCACUGGGCUUAAAGCGUGUGUAGGCGGAAUUGUAAGUACCUUGUGAAAUCCCACGGCUCAACCGUGGAACUGCUCGGUAUACUGCUUUUCUUGAGCCACUUAGGGGCUACCGGAACAAAUGGUGGAGCGGUGAAAUGCGUAGAUAUCAUUUGGAACGCCAAUGGUGAAAACAGGUAGCUGGGAGUGUGCUGACGCUGAGACACGAAAGCCAGGGGAGCGAACGGGAUUAGAUACCCCGGUAGUCCUGGCCGUAAACGAUGUCCACUAGAUCGUAGAAGCUCUGACGCUUUUAUGGUCGAAGCAAAAGUGCUAAGUGGACCGCCUGGGAAGUACGGUCGCAAGGCUA
Molecule: ribosomal RNA, 372 nt
Filed under: uncultured organism
Description: bacterial SSU rRNA
Rfam family: Bacterial small subunit ribosomal RNA
Source: RNAcentral